CAGCAGCCGCGGGAAUACGUAGGUGGCAAGCGUUGUCCGGAAUUAUUGGGCGUAAAGGGCUCGCAGGCGGUUUCUUAAGUCUGAUGUGAAAGCCCCCGGCUCAACCGGGGAGGGUCAUUGGAAACUGGGAAACUUGAGUGCAGAAGAGGAGAGUGGAAUUCCACGUGUAGCGGUGAAAUGCGUAGAGAUGUGGAGGAACACCAGUAGCGAAGGCGACUCUCUGGUCUGUAACUGACGCUGAGGAGCGAAAGCGUGGGGAGCGAACAGGAUUAGAUACCCCUGUAGUCCCUGUCUCUUAUAC
This 301-nucleotide ribosomal RNA is filed under the name uncultured bacterium. Its description in RNAcentral is "partial 16S ribosomal RNA". It matches the Rfam family "Bacterial small subunit ribosomal RNA", at positions 509 to 807 of the family's 1533-position model. The record is from RNAcentral.